RNAcentral lists this non-coding RNA (21 nucleotides) under Arabidopsis thaliana (thale cress). Lineage: Eukaryota; Viridiplantae; Streptophyta; Magnoliopsida; Brassicales; Brassicaceae. The record is from RNAcentral.
UUAUAAUUCAAGGCGGUCCGA